RNAcentral lists this ribosomal RNA (518 nucleotides) under uncultured bacterium. RNAcentral describes it as "bacterial SSU rRNA". It matches the Rfam family "Bacterial small subunit ribosomal RNA", at positions 13 to 518 of the family's 1533-position model. The record is from RNAcentral.
UUGAUCAUGGCUCAGGAUGAACGCUAGCUACAGGCUUAACACAUGCAAGUCGAGGGGCAGCAGGAUCUUAGCUUGCUAAGAUUGCUGGCGACCGGCGCACGGGUGAGUAACGCGUAUCCAACCUUCCCCUUAGUAGGGCAUAGCCCGAUGAAAAUCGGAUUAAUACCCUAUGUUUUCCAAUGAGGACAUCUGAGCUGGAACAAAGAUUCAUCGCUAAGGGAUGGGGAUGCGUCCGAUUAGGUAGUCGGCGGGGUAACGGCCCACCGAGCCAUCGAUCGGUAGGGGUUCUGAGAGGAAGGUCCCCCACAUUGGAACUGAGACACGGUCCAAACUCCUACGGGAGGCAGCAGUGAGGAAUAUUGGUCAAUGGGCGAGAGCCUGAACCAGCCAAGUAGCGUGCAGGAUGACCGGCCCUAUGGGUUGUAAACUGUCUUUUAUGCGGGGAUAAAGUGUGCCACGUGUGGCGUUUUGUAGGUACCGCAUGAAUAAGGACCGGCUAAUUCCGUGCCAGCCGCCGC